UACGUAGGGUGCAAGCGUUGUCCGGAAUUAUUGGGCGUAAAGAGCUCGUAGGCGGUCUGUCGCGUCGGAUGUGAAAACCCAGGGCUCAACCCUGGGCCUGCAUUCGAUACGGGCAGACUAGAGUUCGGUAGGGGAGACUGGAAUUCCUGGUGUAGCGGUGAAAUGCGCAGAUAUCAGGAGGAACACCGGUGGCGAAGGCGGUGCUCUGGGCCAGUACUGACGCUGAGGAGCGAAAGCGUGGGGAGCAAACAGG
Molecule: ribosomal RNA, 253 nt
Filed under: uncultured bacterium
Lineage: Bacteria
Description: partial 16S ribosomal RNA
Rfam family: Bacterial small subunit ribosomal RNA
Source: RNAcentral